CGGCGGACGGGUGAGUAACGCGUGGGCAACCUGCCUUCCACUGGGGGAUAACACAGGGAGACCUGUGCUAAUACCGCAUGACAUCACAUAGGGCAUCCUGUGUGAUCAAAGGAGUGAUCCGGUGGAAGAUGGGCCCGCGUCCGAUUAGCUAGUUGGUGAGGUAACGGCUCACCAAGGCGACGAUCGGUAGCCGGACUGAGAGGUUGGCCGGCCACAUUGGGACUGAGACACGGCCCAGACUCCUACGGGAGGCAGCAGUGGGGAAUAUUGCGCAAUGGGGGGAACCCUGACGCAGCGACGCCGCGUGAAGGAAGAAGGCCUUCGGGUUGUAAACUUCUUUGAUGAGGGACGAAGGAAGUGACGGUACCUCAAAAACAAGCCACGGCUAACUACGUGCCAGCAGCCGCGGUAAUACGUAGGUGGCGAGCGUUGUCCGGAAUUACUGGGUGUA
RNAcentral lists this ribosomal RNA (451 nucleotides) under uncultured bacterium. RNAcentral describes it as "bacterial SSU rRNA". It matches the Rfam family "Bacterial small subunit ribosomal RNA", at positions 96 to 562 of the family's 1533-position model. The record is from RNAcentral.